GUUUCCAUGGAGAAGUGGUUUAACUCGUCACUUUCACAUAGUGAAGAUCGCCGGUUCGAGCCCGGCUGGAAACA
Molecule: transfer RNA, 74 nt
Organism: Mucor circinelloides
Lineage: Eukaryota; Fungi; Mucoromycota; Mucoromycetes; Mucorales; Mucoraceae
Rfam family: tRNA
About the family: Transfer RNA (tRNA) molecules are approximately 80 nucleotides in length. Their secondary structure includes four short double-helical elements and three loops (D, anti-codon, and T loops). Further hydrogen bonds mediate the characteristic L-shaped molecular structure. tRNAs have two regions of fundamental functional importance: the anti-codon, which is responsible for specific mRNA codon recognition, and the 3' end, to which the tRNAs corresponding amino acid is attached (by aminoacyl-tRNA synthetases). tRNAs cope with the degeneracy of the genetic code in two manners: having more than one tRNA (with a specific anti-codon) for a particular amino acid; and 'wobble' base-pairing, i.e. permitting non-standard base-pairing at the 3rd anti-codon position.
Source: Rfam